UACCUGGCGGCGUGCUUACCAUGCAAGUCGAACGAUGACUUUUGUGCUUGCACAAAAUGAUUAGUGGCGAACGGGUGAGUAACACGUGAGUAACCUGCCCUUAACUUCGGGAUAAGCCUGGGAAACCGGGUCUAAUACCGGAUACGACGGACCACCGCAUGGUGGUCCGUGGAAAGCUUAAUGCGGUUUUGGAUGGACUCGCGGCCUAUCAGCUUGUUGGUUGGAGUAACGGCCCACCAAGGCGACGACGGGUAGCCGGCCUGAGAGGGUGACCGGCCGCACUGGGACUGAGACACGGCCCAGACUCCUACGGGAGGCAGCAGUGGGGAAUAUUGCACAAUGGGCGAAAGCCUGAUGCAGCGACGCCGCGUGAGGGACGAAGGCCUUCGGGUUGUAAACCUCUUUCAGCAGGGAAGAAGCGAAAGUGACGGUACCUGCAGAAGAAGCGCCGGCUAACUACGUGCCAGCAGCCGCGGUAAU
RNAcentral lists this ribosomal RNA (480 nucleotides) under uncultured bacterium. Its description in RNAcentral is "bacterial SSU rRNA". It matches the Rfam family "Bacterial small subunit ribosomal RNA", at positions 36 to 524 of the family's 1533-position model. The record is from RNAcentral.